AGGACGAACGCUGGCGGCGUGCUUAACACAUGCAAGUCGAGCGGUAAGGCCUUUCGGGGUACACGAGCGGCGAACGGGUGAGUAACACGUGGGUGAUCUGCCCUGCACUCUGGGAUAAGCCUGGGAAACUGGGUCUAAUACCGGAUAUGACCUGCUCUCGCAGUGGGGGUGGGUAGGAAAGUAUUUUAUCGGGUGCGAGGGAUCGGGCCCGCGGCCUAUCCAGUCGUUGGUUGGGUGGGGUAAUCGGCCUACCGAAGGUCUUUGGACGGGUAGCCGGCCUGGAGAGGGUCGACCGGCCAC
This 300-nucleotide ribosomal RNA is filed under the name uncultured soil bacterium. RNAcentral describes it as "bacterial SSU rRNA". It matches the Rfam family "Bacterial small subunit ribosomal RNA", at positions 26 to 311 of the family's 1533-position model. The record is from RNAcentral.